GACGAACGCUGGCGGCGUGCCUAAUACAUGCAAGUAGAACGCUGAAGAGAGGAGCUUGCUCUUCUUGGAUGAGUUGCGAACGGGUGAGUAACGCGUAGGUAACCUGCCUUGUAGCGGGGGAUAACUAUUGGAAACGAUAGCUAAUACCGCAUAACAAUGGAUGACACAUGUCAUUUAUUUGAAAGGGGCAAUUGCUCCACUACAAGAUGGACCUGCGUUGUAUUAGCUAGUAGGUGAGGUAACGGCUCACCUAGGCGACGAUACAUAGCCGACCUGAGAGGGUGAUCGGCCACACUGGGACUGAGACACGGCCCAGACUCCUACGGGAGGCAGCAGUAGGGAAUCUUCGGCAAUGGGGGCAACCCUGACCGAGCAACGCCGCGUGAGUGAAGAAGGUUUUCGGAUCGUAAAGCUCUGUUGUAAGUCAAGAACGAGUGUGAGAGUGGAAAGUUCACACUGUGACGGUAGCUUACCAGAAAGGGACGGCUAACUACGUGCCAGCAGCCGCGGUAAUACGUAGGUCCCGAGCGUUGUCCGGAUUUAUUGGGCGUAAAGCGAGCGCAGGCGGUUUGAUAAGUCUGAAGUUAAAGGCUGUGGCUCAACCAUAGUUCGCUUUGGAAACUGUCAAACUUGAGUGCAGAAGGGGAGAGUGGAAUUCCAUGUGUAGCGGUGAAAUGCGUAGAUAUAUGGAGGAACACCGGUGGCGAAAGCGGCUCUCUGGUCUGUAACUGACGCUGAGGCUCGAAAGCGUGGGGAGCGAACAGGAUUAGAUACCCUGGUAGUCCACGCCGUAAACGAUGAGUGCUAGGUGUUGGAUCCUUUCCGGGAUUCAGUGCCGCAGCUAACGCAUUAAGCACUCCGCCUGGGGAGUACGACCGCAAGGUUGAAACUCAAAGGAAUUGACGGGGGCCCGCACAAGCGGUGGAGCAUGUGGUUUAAUUCGAAGCAACGCGAAGAACCUUACCAGGUCUUGACAUCCCGAUGCUAUUUCUAGAGAUAGAAAGUUACUUCGGUACAUCGGUGACAGGUGGUGCAUGGUUGUCGUCAGCUCGUGUCGUGAGAUGUUGGGUUAAGUCCCGCAACGAGCGCAACCCCUAUUGUUAGUUGCCAUCAUUCAGUUGGGCACUCUAGCGAGACUGCCGGUAAUAAACCGGAGGAAGGUGGGGAUGACGUCAAAUCAUCAUGCCCCUUAUGACCUGAGCUACACACGUGCUACAAUGGUUGGUACAACGAGUUGCGAGUCGGUGACGGCAAGCUAAUCUCUUAAAGCCAAUCUCAGUUCGGAUUGUAGGCUGCAACUCGCCUACAUGAAGUCGGAAUCGCUAGUAAUCGCGGAUCAGCACGCCGCGGUGAAUACGUUCCCGGGCCU
RNAcentral lists this ribosomal RNA (1369 nucleotides) under uncultured bacterium. Its description in RNAcentral is "bacterial SSU rRNA". It matches the Rfam family "Bacterial small subunit ribosomal RNA", at positions 28 to 1381 of the family's 1533-position model. The record is from RNAcentral.